AUUGAACGCUGGCGGCAUGCCUUACACAUGCAAGUCGAACGGUAACAGGUCUUCGGAUGCUGACGAGUGGCGAACGGGUGAGUAAUACAUCGGAACGUGCCUAGUAGUGGGGGAUAACUACUCGAAAGAGUGGCUAAUACCGCAUGAGAUCUACGGAUGAAAGCAGGGGAUCGCAAGACCUUGUGCUACUAGAGCGGCCGAUGGCAGAUUAGGUAGUUGGUGGGAUAAAAGCUUACCAAGCCGACGAUCUGUAGCUGGUCUGAGAGGACGAUCAGCCACACUGGGACUGAGGCACGGCCCAGACUCCUACGGGAGGCAGCAGUGGGGAAUUUUGGACAAUGGGCGCAAGCCUGAUCCAGCAAUGCCGCGUGCAGGAUGAAGGCCUUCGGGUUGUAAACUGCUUUUGUACGGAACGAAAAGCCCCGGGUUAAUACCCUGGGGUCAUGACGGUACCGUAAGAAUAAGCACUUACAAACUACGUGCCAGCCGCCGCCGUAA
This 498-nucleotide ribosomal RNA is filed under the name uncultured bacterium. RNAcentral describes it as "partial 16S ribosomal RNA". It matches the Rfam family "Bacterial small subunit ribosomal RNA", at positions 30 to 523 of the family's 1533-position model. The record is from RNAcentral.